GACGAACGGGGGAGGAGGGAGGAAUACAUGCAAGUUGAGCGCUGAAGGUUGGUACUUGUACCAACUGGAUGAGCAGCGAACGGGUGAGUAACGCGUGGGGAAUCUGCCUUUGAGCGGGGGACAACAUUUGGAAACGAAUGCUAAUACCGCAUAAAAACUUUAAACACAAGUUUUAAGUUUGAAAGAUGCAAUUGCAUCACUCAAAGAUGAUCCCGCGUUGUAUUAGCUAGUUGGUGAGGUAAAGGCUCACCAAGGCGAUGAUACAUAGCCGACCUGAGAGGGUCCUCCACCACAUUGGGACUGAGACACGGCCCAAACUCCUACGGGAGGCAGCAGUAGGGAAUCUUCGGCAAUGGACGAAAGUCUGACCGAGCAACGCCGCGUGAGUGAAGAAGGUUUUCGGAUCGUAAAACUCUGUUGGUAGAGAAGAACGUUGGUGAGAGUGGAAAGCUCAUCAAGUGACGGUAACUACCCAGAAAGGGACGGCUAACUACGCU
Molecule: ribosomal RNA, 497 nt
Filed under: uncultured bacterium
Lineage: Bacteria
Description: partial 16S ribosomal RNA
Rfam family: Bacterial small subunit ribosomal RNA
Source: RNAcentral